UCCGUAGGCGGGUAAUUAAGUCAGAGGUGAAAUCCCACAGCUUAACUGUGGAACUGCCUUAGAUACUGGUUAUCUUGAGUUUUAGUGAAGUAGAUAGAAUGCGUAGUGUAGCGGUGAAAUGCAUAGAUAUUACACAGAAUACCGAUUGCGAAGGCAGUCUACUAACUAACAACUGACGCUGAUGGACGAAAGCGUGGGGAGCGAACAGGAUUAGAUACCCUGGUAGUC
This 228-nucleotide ribosomal RNA is filed under the name uncultured bacterium. RNAcentral describes it as "partial 16S ribosomal RNA". It matches the Rfam family "Bacterial small subunit ribosomal RNA", at positions 568 to 795 of the family's 1533-position model. The record is from RNAcentral.